This 1323-nucleotide ribosomal RNA is filed under the name metagenome. Its description in RNAcentral is "bacterial LSU rRNA". It matches the Rfam family "Bacterial large subunit ribosomal RNA", at positions 1561 to 2925 of the family's 2925-position model. The record is from RNAcentral.
AGUGGAUGGGGAGCAACCUAGUUGUGCGUGUGUAAAGGUAGUGCCAAGAAAAGCGGUGAUCAUGAUGAAAAUCAAUUCCCGGUACCCGAAACCGACACAGGUGGGCAAGUAGAGAAUACUAAGGGGCGCGAGGUAACUCUCUCCAAGGAACUCGGCAAAAUGACCCCGUAACUUAGGGAGAAGGGGUGCCACCGAGAGGUGGUCGCAGUGAAGAGGCCCAGGCGACUGUUUAGCAAAAACAUAGGUCUCUGCAAACUCGAAAGAGGAGGUAUAGGGGCUGACGCCUGCCCAGUGCCGGAAGGUUAAAGAAGUUGGUCAGUCUUAGGAUGAAGCUAGCGACUGAAGCCCCGGUGAACGGCGGCCGUAACUAUAACGGUCCUAAGGUAGCGAAAUUCCUUGUCGGGUAAGUUCCGACCCGCACGAAAGGCGUAACGAUCUGGGCGCUGUCUCGGAGAGAGGCUCGGCGAAAUAGGAUUGUCUGUGAAGAUACGGACUACCUGCAUUUGGACAGAAAGACCCUAUGAAGCUUUACUAUAGCUUGGAAUUGUGUUCGGGCUUCCUGUGCGCAGGAUAGGUGAGGCGUAGAAGGUAUUCUUGUGGGGAUACUGGAGCCAACGGUGAGAUACCACUCUCAGGAGGCUAGAAUUCUAACUUAAUUAAGGACAGUUUCAGGUGGGUAGUUUGACUGGGGCGGUCGCCUCCAAAAAGGUAACGGAGGCGUACAAAGGUUCCCUCAGACUGGUUGGAAAUCAGUCGAAGAGUGCAAAGGCAGAAGGGAGCUUGACUGCGAGAAGUACAGUUCGAGCAGGGUGGAAACACGGUCUUAGUGAUCCGACGGUGCUGUGUGGAAGGGCCGUCGCUCAACGGAUAAAAGUUACUCUAAGGAUAACAGGCUGAUCUCCCCCAAGAGUUCACAUCGACGGGGAGGUUUGGCACCUCGAUGUCGGCUCAUCGCAACCUGGGGCGGAAGUACGUCCCAAGGGUUGGGCUGUUCGCCCAUUAAAGCGGUACGUGAGCUGGGUUCAGAACGUCGUGAGACAGUUCGGUCCAUAUCCGAUGUAGGCGUGAGAAUAUUGAGAGGAGCCUUCCUUAGUACGAGAGGACCGGGAAGGACGCACCGCUGGUGUACCUGUUAUGAUGCCAAUUGUAAACGCAGGGUAGCCAAGUGCGGAGAGGAUAACCGCUGAAAGCAUCUAAGUGGGAAGCCCACCUCAAGAUGAGUAUUCUGGUGUAAGGUCACGGGAAGACGACCCGUAAAUAGGCACGAGGUGGAAGCGCAGAGAUGUAUGAAGCCGAAGUGUACUAAUAGACCGUCGGCUUGAC